Molecule: long non-coding RNA, 835 nt
Organism: Engraulis encrasicolus (European anchovy)
Lineage: Eukaryota; Metazoa; Chordata; Actinopteri; Clupeiformes; Engraulidae
Exons: 4
Source: RefSeq, a predicted model, not a curated record
CUUGUUCAGUGUUCACGGUUUAUAUUGCUGAAGGACAAUUACAAGUCUAAACGGAGAAGAGUCGUCAUUUCAAGGUGUUUUCGCGGACGUAUUGGCAUGUGGAUGUUGACAGUGUCGGAAGUAUUAAUCAAAGUUGACACGAGAAGUUGGAGCGAAUGCGAGAAGAGUAUGCGAUGAGCUGCCUGCCUGCUGCUGCCUACUGCCUACUCCUGCUGCUGCCGCUGCUGCUGUUGCAUCCAAGUAAGUUUGGCUGCUAAAAUGUUUUGAUAUUCACUGAACAGACAUGCAAUUGCCUGCAUAGUCCUUUCUUAUUUGAAAGAUGAAUCCCUGUCGCUUGCAAGAUACACAAUCUCAUGCCCAUCGUGCAUAGCUAAUUCAUUGCAUUGGGGAGAGGUGGACUUUCCUGGUGAACCAGUAGCCCAGCCCCCUGGGCGUCAACACAUAGCUUCUGGUUCACCAGGAAAGAGGUGGACGCCGGAUGUAAACAAACUGAGAGGGGGUGUCACGUUGAGUAGCUUUGCAGAUGUAGGCAAAGAGAUUGGCACAUUACUAACGGUGUUGGACUACCAUAAAUUGUUGGGUAGCCAGCCACCCAUGCAUGUUGACACAGCCAGCAGCCCGGCACCCAUGGCACAUGGGGAUGGACCCAGGAGUGGAGGAUGACCCAAUAGGAUGAACGUUCAGCCCACUCACUGUUGACACCAGUGACACAGUAUUGACCAGAUCUCCUGGAAGUGCCCCCUGACGCAGACCCAGUUGUUGGGUAGCCACCCAUGCACGUUGACACAGCCAGCACCGAACACCCAGGGGGAUGGAACCAGGAAUGGAGGAUGGU